UCUCUCUUGACUGGCUGAUCUGUUUCAGAGCUAUCAUCUGUUAGGUUUUUUUCCUCUGAAGUGAUUCACUUCAAACUUCCUCUCUGAACCAGCCAUCAGACAUUCAAGGGGCCAAGAAGUAGAAGCAAGCUGCUUUUCUUAUUCUGGUAUCACUGUCUGUGUGGUGUAAAAAUCAGAAAGCAGAGAGGAGUUGGGCAGUGGGGAGACCUUUGUCAUGCUCCCUAAAAAUCCUUCUACUAGAAAAUCCUGUAAGGCUUGUAUUCAUUACUAUACAUCUUAACUAACUGAGUUUAUGUUUACUGUGGAUUAUUUCUUAUAGCGGUUCCAUCACGAUCAGGAUUUUUUAUUAGUGCUACGUAACUGAACAGAUUUUAUGUUAGUAAUGAGCACAUUAAUUUUAAAAAUCACUUUUUACCAACCACUCUUUUUCUUUUUGUGCAUUCUCAGAAAGUCUAACCAUGCCACUGUUGCCAGUUUCUAUUUUUUUUCUUUUCAUUCAAAGGCAUAAGAGUAUUUUAUUGAACCAGUUAACAAAAACCCUUCUUAGGACUGCCUAUUGUGAUGAUUGGGAACUAAGGCUCUAUUGGAAAAUUGAAAUAAGUGUUCUGAGUUAUCUAAUAGUGCACGUUACUAAUAGUACCCUUUUAUUCUAAGAUCUCAUAUUUACCUCUGCUCCGUUCUGUAGAUGACAUGCUAAAUACUUCAUACUGUAUUUUUAAAACAAAAAUGAGCAUUUUUCGUACCUUUUAUCCUCUAUGGAGUUGUGUGUUGUGGAGGAUUCCUAUUAGUAUGACUUUCUGGAUCUUCAAUACAUAUUGUUUUCUAAAAACUUUCAAGUAAUUGGUCCUUUCAAUACUAUUUCAGGGCAUGUUGGUUUUCAGGAAACAGGUAUCACAGCAGAAGUCUUACUGGUAUGUUUAUUAGAAUAAGUAAAUGUGCUUUUACAUCUCUAUUUAAAUUGUUCUUUGAUGAGCUUGUCAGAACAGUACACACAAAGCAGCAUUGGAGUACUAAUGUGGUAAUGGGGAAAAUAUCACCUUCAUUCUUUCUUGGAAGAUGUAGCUGCAAACAGCAGAAAAGCUGGGUGCAUGGGAAGUGUUGAUGGUGCUGUGACACCAUGGCUGUUGGCAGCAGGGCACAGGGCUCAUGGACAGAUAGGUUGAGAAAAUAGCAAUGUUUUGGUGAUUCUUCCCUUCAGGGCAGCCUACACACCAAGCAAGGAUGGUGCUGUGAGGGACUGGGAUGCUACUCUCUGCUGGGAGCAAGGCAGGAGUUGGUGCCACAGCUGGCAGCUGUGUGCCCCCUUGUCUCACACCACCACAAGUGCCUGGGGAGGGAAGCCGACUCCUUUGGGAGCAGCAAGCACUGGGCAGCCCAUGAGCACUGGGUGGUGGGAACAUAUGGGGUUUUUAACUGCGCCUAAUAAAAACCCAGCUGCCAGAGGCAAGCGAGAGGAUGGGAAUGUGAUUGUUCUCUGCCUGGCCUCAUUGUGAAGCUUGCUGCUGAAUUCUAUGUUAGCAGAGCCAAAAACAGCAGAACUAGAAUUAAAAUGUAGUUCUAAGGCAUAAUAGCAUGUUUGUUUCUUUGGGGAUUUUUUGUUUUGUUUGUUUGUUUUUUAAUAGCACAAUUAGGAAAUUUGAUCCUUUAUGGAAUACUUGGUUAAAAUGAGAAGGGCAUCAAUAUUUUAUUUUCCAAAUAAAUACAGAUUUGAAUUUCAUCACACAGAAUCCUUGUAAAAAUAAUUACAAAAACAGAUAUUAGCUGAGCAUGAACCAAACAACCCCUUGUUUACCUGAAUUAGAAAAAGGAUGAUUAAUGGAAAUGAGCAUGUUACAUUACUCAUUUGUCAAAAAAGAUCAAUAAUGUUAAAUACCCCAGGAAUGUCAUCAAGCUGCCCCUGCUGCUCUGCAAGUUUUAUGAACAAUUCUAGCAGAAAACUCUGUCUGAGGGACUGCUCCUGUACACCUAUACAGCUGCCUCCCUCCUCCUGUCCCUUCUCACUUGGUGCUGAUGAACAAGCCCUUCUCAUAGGCAGAGAAAAAAUUCAAAAAUAAGGAUGGCCAUUUUUUAUUUUUAUUUUUUUUACUUCAGUUUGGUUAUUUUGCAGUUCAGAUAGUUUCAUGAGAGCAGAUACAGUUUCUGUUAGGCAAAAUGUUAGCUCCAGGGAUGGGGUGGAGGAGGAUGGGUGAGCCCAUCAGUGCUGCCUGUGCAGCCAGAGGUGGGGCGGUGGGCCCUGCUGGCCCUGCUGCCACCAUGCAAUGCACAACAGAGCCUGGGGAGAGGCCGGGCUGUUGAGGGAUCACACUUUGCUUGUGGCAACAUUCUCUCUCCUUAGCUGCUCUGUAAUUAUUUUUUCGUUUCUGUGCUUCUUCGCGAUGCAAUGCAAAUUCCUGCAGGCAGCAGCACCUGCCAUGGAGGACCAAUUAGUGGUCACUGUGGGAAAACAUGUGCUGCUGUAUUGAGGUGGUGCUGAGCUGGUUCUUAUUAUGAGCCUUUUUCCAUCAAGAGUCCUGAGAUAUCAGAAAAUGGUGGAGCAAUAAAACCUAUUUAAAAACAAAUGCUUAGAAUUUAUAUUAAUUAAGUAAACUCUCUGGAAAAUCUUUUCAGAGUUAUGUUAAUGUUCAGGUUCUUUAGAUGUAGCAAGGACACAUUCCCUUAGUUUGCACAAAGUGGGGUACAGACUGUCAUAUAAUCUUACUGGUUUUUCAGAUUCCUCCUCUGAUUCUGAGUCAAUUUACCUUUCCCUUGGCUUGCUUUUUCCACCUACAAAUUAUGUACAUUGCUAUUUAAGUACCUGAGAGAGAAAUUUCAAGUUUUAAUUAGUGUUUGUAAAAUGCUUUGGGUUACUUGGAUCAAAGUGUGAUUUAUUAUUCAGUAAUGUAUAUUACUGCACUGUAGGUGUGCAUGUGCAUGAUGCAAAGUGGGGUACCAGUUAAUCUAUUCAUCUGUACUUUAAUAUCUGUUUAUAUAAUAUGGGUUGUUAAGGUUCAUAUUCUUUAAUUUCCAACAAGUUUGAUCAAAGAUGUUUUGAUUUUUCACAACCUCAGCUUUAAUACAUACUGCAGUGCAUUUUUAUUUGAAAAAGAUCCUAUCAUAUGAAGGGAAAGGAUGACUAACGCUCUGAAUUGGACUCUUCUGCAUUUUUUAAUUGAGCUUUUUGGUCCAUCUGAUAAAGAACACAUGCAUAUCGCACUGGCUUAAGGGCAUUCUAGGAGAUGAGGUCUGAGUUCUCCAUUGUGAUUUUAGGACAUCACGCUGGUGAAAAUCCCAUCAAAGCUAUGAUGUCAAGCUGUUGUCCAGCUCACUGGGAUACUGGAGUGUGCUGGAACCCAGGACUAUGCAGGCUUAGGUGUAUGAGCACUCUUAACAGGAUUUGCUUUCACGGAUCCUUGUGUAUGAGACCCAGCAGACUGGAACAAGCCAGGGAUUGUAUAUUUACAUCAUCUGAGAGAUAAUUUGCCAUCCGAGCAUUCAGACUCUGAAUCAAUCAUCUUUGUUUGCAUUUUCUUGAUAUGAACAGAUUUCUAUGCAAGUUGUUUUAAGUACAGGUGACUUUCCACAUGGUGAGAACAUCAGACCAAGUAAGCCUGAGAUUCACUCCAGUGCAAAUGCACACUUCCAGAGAUAUCUGGAGAGCUUGAGCCAGCCGAGUGAAUGUGUGCUAUCACCAACAGCAUCAUCCAGGUCCUCUUAAACCUUAAUUUCUUUCCUUCUCUGCCCCGUUCACUGUAGGUUUGUUCCCUGUGAAUGGUCCUUCUGAGCCCACUUAUUCAUUACUGAGCAGCAAGUGAGAGAGAACAAGAUGAAGAGGAACCUAUGGUUUUAGCACUUAAAAGCAAAAUAGGUAUCAGAAAUGUGUAGAUUGAAAGAGCAGAGCAGGAUUUCUGAUGGUGGAAAAGGUAAAGGUUGCAGACAAGGAAAUGCUUAGAGGAGGUCUGAAGAAGGAAAGCCGAGGGCCUGGGGAAGCUAUGCAAAACCCAUGUGAUAGGGAAAGAGGUCCUUGGCCUCGUGUGAUGCUGAGGGUGGACCAGCAGCCAAACAACAAAGUAAGAAAAGGAAAAAUAACGUUAAACUGCAGGGGUGCAAAUGCAGACUGUUUAUAAGAUGAAGGGGUGAUAAUAUGCCAGUACAAAAGCUGUGGGGAGGCCUCAAAGACAUGAGCUGGUACUUACUGGGGCUGCAGUGCAGUGAUCUCCCCUCAGCAAUGCUCCUAUAUUUUUCUGGAUUCUGUGAAGUUAGUAGCAGUGCAAUUAUAACGACCCUGAACUGAAGUUAAUUACUUUUGUUACUAGUAAUCAGAUCAACUGCAUCAUUUUGAUAGAACUGAAUGCAUGACUGAAUGCAUGACCUGUAUUGAAAAAAAAAAAAAAAAGAAAAAAAAUUGCUGGGUGGUUUUGAACCACAAGGUUGAAUUGAACUUCAGUGCAGUUUCUUGUUGAAAAAUAUACUAUGGAUGUAACUGUGUAUAUAUUAAAACAUAUGUGUGUAAGUAUGCAAGAUGUACGACGAUGUGCCCCACAACACCUUUACAGAUAUUUGUUUCAGUUUUGUAAAAAACACAAAUGUAAGUGAUUAACAGUGGUUUGAAGCAAAGCUGACUCUGAUAAAUUAGAAAAGGAAUUCACUAUGCUUUUUUAAAGCUGCAUUCUUGUACAAGAAGCUAAUUGAUAAUAUUGGGGGUGUGUGUGGGGGGGGGAAAUAGGAGGAACUGCUCAGGAUUGUGGCCACUAUGGCAAGGUCUGUUAUUUUCUCUUUCCUUCCGGUCUCCAAGGUUUCACUCUCUCAUGUGACCCUAAAGAGUGGACACAAAAGAUACGUAUUUGCUUGAAAGGCAAGAAAUAAUAAAAUAAUAUGUCUUGACUUUAAGUGGUUCCACACAGCACUGGCUCUUGAGUCUGAUUUUCUUGCCUGUCUACAUAUGGCCCUCUCUCAGUUCUUUUGCUAUUGUGUUCAGUGUCACUUUUGCUGAAGGGAAGUGGCUGAAAUGUCACUUUAACCAAACAUCUUGAGAUUUUAGAGGCAGUCCUGAACUUGAAAAGAGUCUGAUUCUCAUGAGAAAAUCCUGCUGCUGGACAGGGAGAUGUAAAUCACAGCUGGCUUCCAAAAUUAGCCAGAAAACAGAUUUUUUGCAAAAUUGUGUAGACAGCAAGGCUGGGCUCUGACAGCCUGAGGAAUCCAGCUUCACCGUGACAUAGGGCUGCACAGUUCAUCUGCGUGCCUGCUGGAGAUGUUCUGCUGGUACCAACCCAAAGGUAAAACUGCCACAUGCCUUCUUCACACUUUCCUAUACUGUCCUCAGCCCCUGUCAGUAUUACGUAACAAUUCCCAUUAUUAUUAUUCUCCCUUAUUUUAAACUUCUGAUUACUUUUAGUUUUCAUUGCAGGUCAGGGAAAUGGAAGUUUGUUGCUGAGCACUGGUGUCUGGAGGGACUGGCUGUGACUGCAAAUAGCUGUACAUCACGUCCAUGCUGCUGCUGUUAUAGUCUGAAUGGGAAUGGAUGGUGAAGAAGACUGGAUCCCUGCACCCUCCCCAGGGACCAACACCUACUUUCCCUUGGCCAAACCAUGUUCAGGUUGGGUGGAGAGUACCAGAUAUAUACACCAAAGGACAGAGUGACCACUGGCUGUAUCUCUUCUUGGUUUUGGGAGUUUUUUUCUUACUUUCAAAAGAUGCAAGAUAGAUUUGCCAUGGAAUGACCUAGAGUAUGAUGCAAGCACGCUAAUGUCGUCCGAUGCCUGUGAAACCAGAUAUUUCCUCCUGUGUCCCAUGCUACAGAUGAGAAGACCAAAGGUGAAAGAGAGAACAGCCGAGAGACCAUCCACAGAGAGAGAUGGGCAAUUGUGAGAAGAGGUCGAGAACAGAAUAGGAAAGAAGGAGCGGCAGAGCUGGAGGCCAGCGGAAGGACAGAGGCCGUGAGUAGGAGGUGGACCCACUCAUCCCACACGUAAACUCUUUUCACUGAGGCAGCAGGGAGCAAUCUCUCUGAAAAGCACCUACCACAAGGAAGGCCUGACUCUUCCUGUGCCUUAAAGACAUGAGUGAAACAGAGAUAUUCAGUCUCGAAACAAAAGCAGGCAAAGUGAAGUUGGGAAUAUGACGGGCGUUUGACUGCAAAGGCUCAUGAGCAGGAGAGUGCUGGCUGCCCCCUUGAGUGAGAGCUGCACCAUCAAGUCGCCCAAGCUGCACAUAGUUACUCAAAAGAGUUCCUUCAGGAAAAACAGAAAUGCACAGUACAGGCUGACUUGUGGGGAAUGUGACCACCAGUGUGCAGGUUUCCAUGGACUUACCGGGAUUAUAAUGAAUUAAAACACAAUAAAAAUAACCUGAUUAAGGUUAUUAAGAGGUUAUAUCAUCCUUAAGCCAUACAAAGGCUCAUGAAUAAAGGAGUGGCUGUCAGCGGAGAGGUCUGUAGUAUGAUUAAAAUUGUGGAAAAAAAACAAAAAUACUUUCCCAUCUGGAAGGGUAAGAUGAUGAAGAUUUACUGUCAAAGAAUGUUCUGAAAAGUCCUUUUCUUCCAUGCAGCUCAGGCUGGAGAACAUCCAAUUCACUUUUUCAUAUCCAACUAUGAAUGAAGCAGAAAGUACUAUGAUUUUUUCUGUAGUUUGGAUAUUAGCAAGUGUUUGUUAUGAAGGACAGCAGCACAUCGUGAUAUUAGCAAACUCAGGGGAAAAAAAAAUAAAAGGUGGGUAUGUCUCUUAGAUUUUUCUAGGUUUACUUUAUCUCACUGAAGCAAUGGAAAAUCAGUGUGAAAAGCCACUAACCCAACCAUCAUUCUGCUGUGCACAGAGAACCAGCAUCCCUUAGCAAGCCUUAUAGUAUCGCAUCCCUUUAUUAAAGCUGGUCAGAUAAACUAACAACUAUGUCACUCCUGCAGCAAGUUUCAGGAGGCCACAACUCCAUGAACCUGAAAGUUUGACUGCUGACAAGAAGUUGCUUGAAGUGGAAGUGUUACAAAGAAGCCACCUUCCCCACAGCAUUACUGCCCUGGCUUCUGUCCCCAUCUGCUCAGCGGUGCUGUGGGGCAGGCGUGCCAGCAGGCUCUGAGCAGCAGGUCCCGUGUGCUGCUGAGCUUCUCAUCAAACGCCCUGUGCUGCAUGGAUGCCUUCCUCCAGCUGGCAGUUUGAACACUUCAGUCCAGCUAGAUCUGCAGAAGUGAAUGAAGGUGGAGACUUGUGCAUUUCCGAAGCUGCUGUUUCUAGGUGGUCUUCAGGCUCAUAUAGCCAGCAAUGAACAUUCCUGUUAUAUUUACAAAUGUAACGAGGGUGGAAUUUGCACAUGACAGCGGAGGAUUUUUUCCAUGCUGUUGGCCACAGAUUCAGCAAACCAAGACAAAAAGGCAGAUUGUCCGCAGCCCUGUCUGCAGCACAGGCUCUCUGCAAAAAUCUCCUCAGCGCUCUGACGGGUUCACCCCCACUGCCUUCAGCUGUGUCGGGAGCUCCAGCACAGAUGAGUGAACAGCAUUUUAAGUACCAUGUUUAUUCAACGUGCUCUAAGCAGGGUUAGAUAAUACGAUAUUUAUAAAGCCCAAUUCUCUGCACACUUGAGGGUUGCCCACCUCGCUAGCACUGAUGCAGCUGAGCUGAUAUUAGCGGUGGUGAGGGAUGGCUGUAAAUUUUGCCUCAUGUAGACAAGGCGGACAAGGUAAGCGGGCAGAACCUCGCUGCCGCCGCGUGCCGAGGAAUGGAACCUUUUAUUUGCUGUCAUAGUGAUGACUUUUAAUUGUCCCAAUAAACAAGCUUUUAAAAAGCUUCUAAAAUGUUCUCUAAUAACACACUUUGGUCUUUAGCCAUAGAAAUGCAGAAAUAAUUAGAAGUGCCAUUGUGUACAGUGCCUUCUGGACUGGGCUGAAGGUGAAGGAGAAAGUAUCAUGCUAUCCUUGUCAGCUGCAAGGGUAAUUACUGCUGGCUGAAAUUACUCAACAUUUGUUUAUAAGCUCCCCAGAGCAUGCUGUAAAUAGAUUGUCUGUUAUAGUCCAAUCACAUUAAAACGCUGCUCCUUGCAAACUGCUACCUCCUGUUUUCUGUAAGCCAGGCAGAGAAAGCCUGCUGCUCACUUAUUGAGCACCAAGCACUGAAGAGCUAUGUUUAAUGUGAUUGUUUUCAUUAGCUCUUCUCUGGCUGAUAUUGCAUUUGUAGUUUGCUAGGCUUGAAAACCGGUAUGUUGCAUUGCUUUCAUUUGUUGUAGUGAGAGUGAUUAUCUUUAUUUCUGGAGGGUGUAUGCAACAGUUGAUGGGAAUUUUGGAACAGCACAAGCAUGGGAAUAUCUACAGACACUCGUUCUCCUCUCGAGCAAUGGUGUUUUUCUAUUUGCCUUUUAAAUGCUUCUGUACUUGUUCCAGUAGUGGUCACAUUGCCUAAAUUGUCCUUUGAAGGAUGAGAAGUAUUUUCAUAAAAGGUUAGAAAGAAUGUAUUUUCCUUAGCACUGAAUUUUGCAGUACAGCAUUGUCCUGUCCAUUAUGACCUGAGUUCUAUGAAAUAGUGAUGCAGCCACAGCCUGUCUGUUUGAUUUGCUCUCAGCAUGAUUUACCACAUCAUAUCACUACAGCCCAGGUAUUUCCAAUAAAUAUGGGGCCAAAUUCAUCGCUGACAUAUGCAGACGCAAUUCCAUUGCUAUCGAUAGAGUUGCAUUUGCUCCCACCAAGGUGAAUCUGGCCACUAAACUGAAGAUUUAGGGGAACGAGGUGGAAUUUUGAAGAAAAAAAAAAAAAGCAAAUCCCCAAAACCAGCCCCCUCUACACCACAACCACUGUAUAUUAACAAAAAAAUAAAGGCACUACAGAUCCAUUACCAGGGCAGAAAUUUGUAACCCCUGUUUCAUGAGUAAUUCAUGAGAACACACACAAAGGGUAUUUCAACAGCACUCAUUUUUAUUUACCACUGAUUACUCCCCCAAAUCAGUACUGAUUAUAUAGAAUGAAGUGUGGCCCCUUCAUGUCGCAUUUAUUUGAAAAGGCUAGCAACAGCAAGCUGUUCUGCCUGCACCCAUAGCUGGGAAAAAGUCUGGACAUUAGGGAAAUUUAAGCAGGUUUUCUUUAAACCCUGAUACUGCCCUGGUGUAAAUUCUCAUGGAAGACAUUGCAGCCACGACAGCUUACACCAGCUAUUGAGCUUCCCAGGAAAUAAUGCAACAAAGCAGCAGCGUUAGUGACCAGUAGACAAUUACUGAGGGAACACAGAUAAUUGGAAGAAAAUAAAUGACCUGGAUAGAAUAGCGACUAUAAAAUGAAGUGCAGACAAAAUCACUGUGCUGAAUGCUUUCCAGAAUCCCAUGUCCCAGGUGCCUUUCUUCCCAAUUUUAAGAUCUGCAUCAAGCUUCUGUUCUCAGCAAACCAGCCAGGAAAGGAUUAGAAUUGAGAUCUGGAUAUCCACAUUUUCUUCUAACUGGAAUCACUGCCUGUGGAAAACUGUCCUUCUGGGAAAGAUGCUGGAGUGCUAGAAAUGAUGAUUCAAUUGCCCAUUAAGAUAAUUCCUGGAAGUACUACUUUCUUGAGGCUGUGCUUCCAGGAAUGGCAAUCGCAGCAUCACUUCUUUGACAAAGCGAUAGGGAUCUCCAGAAGUGGAUGCAGCAGGUGAAUAUUUCCAGUUACUGCAAGCAAUGCACCACAGGUUAGAUCUCGUGGUUAUCUUUAUUUGCAAAAAGCUAACUAAUACAGCAUAUUGCAAUGCUCUGAUGAUGAAUUACACCAAUUGUUUUGCAAUAAACUGAAGCUCUUCUGCAAUCCAGGUAACAUUUUUUAUGUUCCUAUUACUGCUUUUUGUGCUAUUAGAGAAGCAGUGAAUCUUUAAAGAGAAACUUCCUACAGCUAAAAAAGACAUUAAGGGGGAAAAAAGCUGGGAGCCAUAGUGACAGGUACAACUAAGGCUGUAUCCUUCGGUUCCCUGGAAACCAGUCAAACACUAUCUCAUCUUGCAAUGGUUGUGUCUGAUCCUCCGCUUCAGACAUCUUCCUAAUAAUGGCAACUACAGAGGUGACUCUCUGCAAAUAAGGGCUUACAGCAACUGGACAUCCAUCAUAUAUCUCCAGAGCAACAUUAGACCACCCUAAUGGGUACUCCCGUCUUCAUUAUGAUAUUAAUUCUCUAAAUUUCCAAAGUGAUUUCAUUUGUAAAAUGACAAAGGCUGGCUGCUCAGGAGACAAACUGUUUUCAUCCCCCUCCUGCAUGCUUACAAAGGCUUGCUCUCUUUAGUCUUUGGGGGAAAAGAAAUUUGAUAGCAUCAGAUCUCUUGUGAUACACAAGGCUGCCUAACAGCUACACCACCUGCCAGCACUGCAUGCCUGCCCAUCCAGCCUGAAGAUUUCUAAAGCAAUGGUUGAUGAGGAGAACAUGGAGGCUGGUUUGGGAGGGGGCUGGGGGGAAGCUAUGCAGAGAGAAAAUAGAGGCUGUAUAAAAUACUCAGUGUGAAAGUGAGGCAGGAUUGAGGGUAAGGGUGAGGUCAGAGCCAAGGCUGGAAGCUGAAUCAAUCUGAACAAGGUUGGUUUGGUUAGAUUAGGUAAAAGCAUGAUUUUCUCCCUGGUGAAUCAAAGCCAUUGCUGUGGCUACAAAUUCACUGUCAGCCAACCAAAGCAAACAUUGCACAAAGAAGCUAUUUUUUUUUUGCAUAGAUCCUGAUCUCCUAACUCUUUAGGAUUAAAUAAAAUAGAGAUUAAAUUAAAAAGGAAAUCAGUAAACCUGUGACAUCUCCAGUACUUGCCCCAAAUAGCGACUAACUAAAGUGUCUGAAUGAACAAUAGUGAGGAAAUUAGGAGGUUCUUCCAAGGGCAGCAAUAAUUGUAACCUGACUGGUGAAUGAAUUUGGAAGCAAUCGAAACAGAACAGCAUUUAAUGUACUGAAAAGUUGAGAAGACACCAAUCUCAUUAGGUUUCAUCCUGCUUUAAGAGAGCACCCAAAUGGCAUCCUGAAGUUUGCCUAUGUCUGGCUUUCAUUUCAUUUACACUCCUCAUCUUUCUGUCAACAGAGCUGGGUGUACAUGGGCAUCGGCACGAGGGAAGCCUGCUCUAUACCUAGGCUCCUUCUUUCUGGGAAGACUGCCUUUGGCAACCAGAUUCGUCCUGCUUGCUUCUAUUCAUGGGGAAGACAUUCUGGCUUUGCCUUGAACUUUGCCUUUUCUGAAAGAGGUACUAAACUACUGCUCCUUUCCAGCUUCAGAUGCUUCUGAACGGUUGAAGGUAAAGCUUACUAUGUCAUCUCAGUAUGGACAACAGACUGCGUGAUUCAUUCAUAGUGCUUGCAUGUUUCCUGACUGACCUCUUUUUCCUCAUCUGACUUGAAAGAAAAGAUGCCAGCAAUGAUCUUGGGAUGAAGACAUUGUGCACAUAACAGCAUGUUUACCAGGUACGUCUGGCAGUAGGGAGAUAGAUGAGGUCUGUGAACUUCUCAGAAUACCUAAAAGUUGUUGUGGUGGAGCUUGGAACCCUGUCAUGCUGGUGUGUGUACAAACAUGUGGUCUCCCAUCCCGAGGAGGAUCAAAAGAACUCCACAACUGCAAGAGGAGAGGCAGUUCUUUCCCCUUAAUUUACACACAUGAAACCAAGAACAAGAAACCAACAGAAUGACUAGGUGCCAGCAAUUCACUUGGAGACGAGAGAAUUGUAGAAAAUUUGGAUCCCCUUACUGUGGUUCACAGCAAAGAAAAUGGUUCAUCUCCCACUGCUCCAAUGGGUGCAAGACUUGGGAAGGAGAAGGAGAAACUCCCUGCUCUCAUCACCAUGUGGAGAGGGAGAUCUGCACCCCUGGGCGGGAGUCAGCAUGAAUUUUCUGCAGAAAAGUGUUAAGAUCUCAGCUGUAGGUAAAUAUUUCUACAGCAUUUUCAACACAAUCCUUUUAUACCAUGCUUUGCUUGCUCCAGAAGUCUUUCAUGUGAGAGAAAAUGGACAGAGAUGAAAACCCACAUCUGAUCUGAUGCUUUGGCAAGCUGUGUUUUCUUACACCCACAGGAGAUGAAGAGUUCUGGCCCUUCAGAAUAAUGGACAAAGAACUUGCAUUAGCAUUCUUUCAUUGUCCAUGUGUCACUCAGAUGACCAAGGCAAAACCGCACAGACCCUGGAUCCUGGGCAGGACAGGAUCAUGGUAUGAAGAGUAAGAGAAAGUUUCACAGGAUAAGUGAUGGCCAAGUGAAGUUUCUCUUUUUGUGCUUUACAGACCUGACAGCUGCAUCUCUUUGAACUGUGGCAAUGAAGAGCAGAGCAGUUCCUCCAGCUGAGGCUACAGGGACUCUGCUAUGCGGGACUUGAAGAGUGAGGAACUAAGAAUGCUAUACCUUCCUUCCUGCCAUCUGUACGGCUCUAAUACUGGAGACCUUCUGAAGAAUGUGCUUGAGACUACAGAUGCAGGCUGGGGCCAGCUUCCUUUGCCCUUCAGAGUAUGAAAAAUUGGGGAAAAAGAAACUAGGCCUUUUUCAUUUAAUCAUAAUUUAUAUAUUUAAUUUUGAUAUAAUAAUGGCAACUUUUCAACAAGUUAUGACUUCUGUCUUACAAUAUAAACUGAUCAUAAAAUUGCAACAAACAAAAUCCAUUGUAACAGUAGGAUUUCAUACUUAAUUUUAUUUAUGAUAUUAAUAUAAUUAUGCGAUUUUAUAACAAAUCUCACUAACAGAUGAAAGACUGUUUAAGACUAUAGUAUGAAAAGUCCUACAUUCAUUCCAGACUCUGUGUGAGAGGGUUAAUGUCUUAGCACAGUGGAAUCACCUCUGGAUUAAUCUAGAGGACUCAGAUCUGUCCUACUCAACUCUCCAAAACCAGCAUGAUAAUCAGCAAGUCUCUACAAGGAGCUGAAGAGUUAAACAAUCA
Coturnix japonica (Japanese quail) is the source of this 12787-nucleotide non-coding RNA. The record is from RefSeq and is a predicted model, not a curated record. NCBI's taxonomy places the organism in Eukaryota, Metazoa, Chordata, Aves, Galliformes, Phasianidae.